This 335-nucleotide ribosomal RNA is filed under the name Klebsiella michiganensis. RNAcentral describes it as "partial 23S ribosomal RNA". It matches the Rfam family "Bacterial large subunit ribosomal RNA", at positions 1 to 372 of the family's 2925-position model. The record is from RNAcentral. Lineage: Bacteria; Pseudomonadati; Pseudomonadota; Gammaproteobacteria; Enterobacterales; Enterobacteriaceae.
GGUUAAGCGACUAAGCGUACACGGUGGAUGCCCUGGCAGUCAGAGGCGAUGAAGGACGUGCUAAUCUGCGAAAAGCGUCGGUAAGGUGAUAUGAACCGUUACAGCCGGCGAUGUCCGAAUGGGGAAACCCAGUGCAAUUCGUUGCACUAUCGUUAACUGAAUACAUAGGUUAACGAGGCGAACCGGGGGAACUGAAACAUCUAAGUACCCCGAGGAAAAGAAAUCAACCGAGAUUCCCCCAGUAGCGGCGAGCGAACGGGGAGCAGCCCGGAGUCUGAAUCAGCUUGUGUGUUAGUGGAAGCGUCUGGAAAGUCGCAGGGUACAGGGUGAUACUC